GCCCCGAACAGGGGGAAGGAGCUGCGGGACGAGGCUGAAGAGCUGCGACGGCUGGACGAGGAGAUGGAAACGAGGCUGCGCAGUGAUGUGCGCAUCCUGAACAAGACCCUCCAGCGCCUGCAGGAGACGAUGCACCAGGUCCCAAUGCUAGUGGACUCUGUGCUGGAGCAGAUGAAACAGGCCGAGGUCUUCCUGGACACGCGUGUGGCCCCCACCAUCCAGAAUGUGAGC
Long non-coding RNA from Gavialis gangeticus (Gharial), 231 nucleotides. RefSeq lists it as uncharacterized. The record is from RefSeq and is a predicted model, not a curated record. The transcript has 3 exons. Lineage: Eukaryota; Metazoa; Chordata; Crocodylia; Gavialidae.